UAGGGGAGUGAGUGAGUGAGCGAGUUUUUCUCUUCCCACUCGCCUCCGCGCCGAUCUUUCGCGUUCUUGAGCCCCACUCCUGCCAUUCAGCCUCACGCAUGCAUUGACCUUCCUCGUCCUUCCG
Molecule: non-coding RNA, 124 nt
Filed under: Chromera velia
Lineage: Eukaryota; Chromeraceae
Source: RNAcentral